Molecule: ribosomal RNA, 490 nt
Filed under: uncultured bacterium
Lineage: Bacteria
Description: partial 16S ribosomal RNA
Rfam family: Bacterial small subunit ribosomal RNA
Source: RNAcentral
AUUGAACGCUGGCGGCAGGCCUAACACAUGCAAGUCGAACGGUAACAGGGAUCAGCUAGCUGAUUCGCGGACGAGUGGCGGGCGGGUGAGUAAUGUCUGGGAAACUGCCUGAUGGAGGGGGAAAACUACUGGAAACGGUAGCUAAAACCGCAUAACGUCGCAAGACCAAAGAGGGGGACCUUCGGGCCUCCUGCCAUCGGCUGUGCCCAGAUGGGAUUAGCUAGUAGGUGGGGUAACGGCUCACCUAGGCGACGAUCCCUAGCUGGUCUGAGAGGAUGACCAGCCACACUGGAACUGAGACACGGUCCAGACUCCUACGGGAGGCAGCAGUAGGGAAUAUUGCACAAUGGGCGAAAGCCUGAUGCAGCCAUGCCGCGUGUAUGAAGAAGGCCUUCGGGUUGUAAAGUACUUUCAGCGGGGAGGAAGGGAGUAAAGUUAAUACCUUUGCUCAUUGACGUUACCCGCAGAAGAAGCACCGGCUAACUCCGUG